This 414-nucleotide RNase P RNA is filed under the name Actinophytocola algeriensis. RNAcentral's name for it is "Bacterial RNase P class A". It matches the Rfam family "Bacterial RNase P class A". Rfam says of the family: Ribonuclease P (RNase P) is a ubiquitous endoribonuclease, found in archaea, bacteria and eukarya as well as chloroplasts and mitochondria. Its best characterised activity is the generation of mature 5'-ends of tRNAs by cleaving the 5'-leader elements of precursor-tRNAs. Cellular RNase Ps are ribonucleoproteins. The record is from Rfam by way of RNAcentral. Lineage: Bacteria; Bacillati; Actinomycetota; Actinomycetes; Pseudonocardiales; Pseudonocardiaceae.
CGAGUCGGCAGGGCGGUCGCGGCGGGUGAGAACUCGUCGAGGAAAGUCCGGACUCCGAAGGGCAGGGUGGUUGCUAACGGCAACCCGGGGCGACCCGCGGGACAGUGCCACAGAAAGCAAACCGCCUGACAGCUCCGUUGGUGCCUCCGGCACCGGCGGGCGCGGCCAGGUAAGGGUGAAACGGUGGUGUAAGAGACCACCAGCACCCCGGGUGACCGGGGUGGCUAGGUAAACCCCACCCGGAGCAAGGUCAAGAGGGAGUCCUCCGGGACUCCUGCGCAGGCGAUCGAGGGCUGCCCGCCCGAGCCUGCGGGUAGGCCGCUAGAGCCUGCCGGCGACGGCAGGCCCAGAUGGAUGACCGCCCCCCGGCCGCGAGGCCGGGGACAGGAUCCGGCUUACAUGCCGGCUCGUCCG